UUAAACAAAUGAUGAGGAAAUUGGUUUCUUCCUCAUUCAGACUUCAAAGAAAUAGGUUUGUUCUUUCCUUUCUCUCUCUAUCAUUCUCUCUCAGCUUUCUUCUUCAGUUUUGAUUUUCUGGGUUAAUCGAUGAAGAUGAUCAAGGAUUCAAGCAUGCAAAUUGACAAAAAUGAGGAGUAGAAGAAGAGGAAUACAAAGAUUAUAAUGGUUCGAUCUCGAAGACCUAUGUACACUCUACAAAGGUGAACUGGAAGAGGAUGUCUCAGUUGGAUCUUGAGCUGUUCAAAGGUAAAUUUUAGCUCAAUUUCUUUACAGGAAUAUUGUUGGUAAAAGCACAAUUACAAAAUGUCUUGAAGUAUUAAAUGAUAGAAAGGGAAUUUAUUUAAUUAACUCUACUCAUAUUGUUUUAAUUUCAAAAAUUCCCACCCCUUAUUCUGUUGGAGACUAUAGACCUAUUAGUUUGCAUAAUGUCAUUUAUAAAAUCAUUACAAAAACUAUUUCUAAUAGACUUAAACCUUUACCAAACUCUUUAGUUUCCUCUUCAUAAGCUGCUUUUAUCCAUGAAAGAGCCAUAAUUGACAACAUCAUUCUUGACCAUGAAUGCCUACAUCUAUUAAAAAGAAGAAAGAAGAACUUGAAUGGUCUUGUUGCAAUUAAGUAGGACCUCAGUAAAGCAUACGAUAGAGUUGAAUAGAUUUUCUCCAAAAAAUAAUGCUUAAACUUGGUUUUGACCCAUGGUGGGUGUCUUUUAUUAUGGACCGCAUCUCAUCGGAAACUUUCUCUAUUCUCAUUAUGGCAACCUAAAAGGAGCAUUAUUUCAUCUAGAGGACUCAGCCUUGUCUCCUUAUUUUUUUUUUUUUUUUUGUUAUUAUUUGUAAUUGAAGGUCUCUUAUAUCUUAUCCAAAAUGCAAUAUCAAGGAAGACUCUUUCAGGUUUACACUUAACCAAUACUUGUCCUAUCAUUUCACAUCUUCUAUUCAUGGGUGACAACAUGAUCUUUUGAAAAGAAAAAAAAAGAAAGAAUUAUUAAUCAAUAAACAAAUUUUGAACUCCUAUGAAUUAGCUCGGGUGAAAAGAUCAAUUAUGAUAAAUCGACAAUACUCUUCUCAGCUAAUGUUAAUAAGGACAGAGCUAAUUUCUUAUGUAACAUUCUGGGAAUUUCUAAUGUGAAUGACUUAGGACUUUACUUUGGUAUCCUGUCAAUUCUCUCAAGAAGUAGAUCCAAAGAUUUCAGUUAUAUUCUAUGCAAAUUUGAUCAAGGCUGGAAAAGGUCUUUUUUCUUUAAGGCUGGAAAGGAAAUAUUAAUUAAGAGUAUUGGUCAAGCUUUACCCACCUAUGCUAUGAGUUUAUUUAGACUACCAAAAGACUUUUGUAGCAAUAUCACAAAAUCAUUUUCGAAAUUUUGGUGGGACUCUCAAGUUAACAAAAGGAAGAUUCAUUGGAUGAGUUGGAAAAGAAUGCAUCUUCCAAAAGUUCUAGGUGACCUAAAUUUCAUAGAUUUAGAAGGUUUUAAUCAAGCCUUCAUCGCCAAACAAGUCUGGAAAAUUUUAAUGAAUCCAAACAAUCUUGUUUCUAUGGUUUUGAAAAGCCUCUACUUCCCAAACUCCCCAAUCCUUGAAGCUCAACUUGGUAAAAAGUCUUCUUCAAUUUGGAAAAGUUUUUGCUGGGGGAAAACUUAUUGAUAAAAGGUCUACGUUGUAGAAUUGGAAAUGGUUCUUCGAUUCACUUGUUUUUUGAUCCUUAGAUCCCUUGCCCUAAUACUUUUAAACCCAUUUGUUUCAAUCCUCUUCUUACAAACUAAAGUCACUGAUUUCAUUCAUCUAAAUGAAUCCUGGAAUAUUAAUCUUUUGGAUGAGUACUUGUUCGAAGAUAAUAUUGCUUGUAUAAAAAAAAAAAAUAUAACUUUCUUAAGAUGGAAGUUGGGAGGUAAUCUUUUACCAACUUUCCUAUGAUGGAAGUUGGGAGGUAAUCUUUUACAAACUUUCCUAUGACGGAGAUCAGGAAGUCAAGAUAUUGACUUUUCUAAUAUUCUUGAGAUGAUGAAUUUAUUUUGGGAUCCUACAUUAAAUUAAAAAUACAAUUUACUAAUAGCCUUUGGCCACUUAUGGUUGUUUUCAUUAUUGAUAAUAACAAUGAUCAGUAAAAUAUGUGACAUUUAAAAAUCAAAACAAAAAUAUCUUUUUCUUUACAAAAAGUCUUUCUUUAAUAACACAAGAAAAUAAAAUAAAAUUGCAUUAUUGGAAUGAGUGUUGUGAGAUGCUAACACCUUCCUCAUACACAAAAACCUACAAACCCUUUAUGUUUUCUUUCCAGACCAAUUUAGCAUAUUUUGGGUGUCCAGUCCCACUCUCCAAAUCAAGAUUGAUAACGACUUUAUUUUCCUCCUCUUGGGAACAACGUCAGUCGCUCUGUGUUGCAAACCCAUAGGUCGUAGCAAUAGCUUGACGACUCUAUUGGGAAAAUGCUUUAUUUGUUUUCAUGUUUAUAUAUAUAUAUAUUAUUACUAUUGUAAUCACACACAUGUACACAAACCCCCUAUCUGAGCUAUACCCAUAAGUUUAGAAUCGAGGAUUAGUAGUGUCGACUUUCGUAGAGCUAUGUCUCCCGUAUGGGUACGCAAAAACCCUCACUCAGGUCAACCUUAUUCAGGAUACUGAUGAGAGUGCCUCUAUUUUUUUCUUGAAUAAAGAGAAAACAAAGGAUAACUUGAGGACCUUGCUUCAUUAGACAUUAUAGCCUAACCACACAUAUUACGUUUGUACAUAGAUGUAAAUAAUUUGUACUCCUGUUAUUGUUAUACUUCAUAACUACGUCCCUCGAUCUUCCUCAUAGUUUUUCUCAUUAAAAAAAUAUUCUCUUUUUUUAACCGUUAUUUUUUUUUUUAAAAUAUACCUCUUUGCAAAAAAAAAAAAAAAAAAAA
This is a non-coding RNA of Benincasa hispida (wax gourd), 2920 nucleotides long. The record is from RefSeq and is a predicted model, not a curated record. NCBI's taxonomy places the organism in Eukaryota, Viridiplantae, Streptophyta, Magnoliopsida, Cucurbitales, Cucurbitaceae.